UCAGCGGUAGAGCAAUUGACUGCAGAUCAAUAGGUCUUCGGUUCAAAUCCGGAACGCCCCU
Molecule: transfer RNA, 61 nt
Filed under: Neocallimastix californiae
Lineage: Eukaryota; Fungi; Neocallimastigomycota; Neocallimastigomycetes; Neocallimastigales; Neocallimastigaceae
Rfam family: tRNA
About the family: Transfer RNA (tRNA) molecules are approximately 80 nucleotides in length.
Source: Rfam by way of RNAcentral